Acanthosepion pharaonis is the source of this 109-nucleotide non-coding RNA. Lineage: Eukaryota; Metazoa; Mollusca; Cephalopoda; Sepiida; Sepiidae. The record is from the annotation of a GenBank genome assembly.
GUGACAUUACGUUGAAACACCGGUUCUCCUCCGAUCACCGUAGUUAAGCAACGUCGAACCUGGUCAGUACCUAGACGGGUGACCGCUUGGGAAUACCAGAUGCUGUAAG